GGGUGUAGCUCAGUGGUAGAGCACGUGCUUAGCAUGCACAAGGUCCUGGGUUCAAUCCCCAGUACCUCCA
This 70-nucleotide transfer RNA is filed under the name Camelus bactrianus (Bactrian camel). It matches the Rfam family "tRNA". Rfam says of the family: Transfer RNA (tRNA) molecules are approximately 80 nucleotides in length. Their secondary structure includes four short double-helical elements and three loops (D, anti-codon, and T loops). Lineage: Eukaryota; Metazoa; Chordata; Mammalia; Artiodactyla; Camelidae. The record is from Rfam by way of RNAcentral. RNAcentral also lists the same sequence under 2 other names.